This 500-nucleotide ribosomal RNA is filed under the name uncultured bacterium. RNAcentral describes it as "partial 16S ribosomal RNA". It matches the Rfam family "Bacterial small subunit ribosomal RNA", at positions 30 to 523 of the family's 1533-position model. The record is from RNAcentral.
AUUGGACGCUCGCGGAAUUCUUUACACAUGCAAGUCGAACGGCAGCACGGACUUCGGUCUGGCGGCGAGUGCCGAACGGGUGAAUAAUAUAGCGGAACGUGCGCGGUCGGGGGGGAUAACGUAGUGAAAGUUACGCUAAUACCGCAAACGAACUAUGGAUGAAAGCGGGGGACCUUUGGGCCUCGCGCGAUUGGAGCGGCCGAUAUCAGAUUAGGUAGUUGGUGGGGUAAAGGCUCACCAAGCCAACGAUCUGUAGCUGGUCUGAGAGGACGACCAGCCACACUGGGACUGAGACACGGCCCAGACUCCUACGGGAGGCAGCAGUGGGGAAUUUUGGACAAUGGACGCAAGUCUGAUCCAGCCAGUCCGCGUGCAGGACGAAGGCCUUCGGGUUGUAAACUGCUUUUGUACAGAACGAAAAGGUUUCUACUAAUACUAGGAGCUCAUGACGGUACUGUAAGAAUAAGCACCGGCUAACUACGUGCCAGCCGCCGCCGUAA